CGUAAACAGACUAUAACUAGUAAUAAGUUAAGGUAGCGCAUAUAUGCAACACCCUUUUGACAGGGAAAGUCAGCAAGCGGAGUUUGAUUCGCUAUGGGAAGGAAUAAUUGCAAAUGAAGAAAUACGGGAUCCAGGUCGAGCGGUAAGACAGCACGGCGCCCAAUCAGCAUGACGUGUUCUGGGGCAGGGUCGACAUGGCCACUACACUCUGCCUUCAGCUUCCCUGUGAUGAGGGAAAUGUGAGCUUCCAGUUGAAAUAUCUGCAACUUUUUGCUGAAAACAUCUUGGUCCCCUCUUACUUGGAGGACGACAAGGGCAGUAAUGGCCAGGAAUACCGCACACAAAUCACUCAACAUGGGCAGUAUGGUGCCUUCAAUGAGAUGUACAACUAAAUUAAAAGUAAAUAUCUGGAAGUCGUAGCUGAGGGUGAGAGGAGUAUCAGCCUGUCUGCUAAUGUCAUAUCAAACCAAUAACCAAUUUAAUACAAAUCCUUGGCCGGCUCACACAGGGUCACUGAUAAACCGCUUUCGUCCUAUAAUGCUUCUCCAGACGACUAUUUUAAUUUUCAGACAUUUGGAAAGCUUUACUGCAGUAGAGUUAUUCAGACAGAUUGUUGGAGGUAGAAAGCGUGGCUGGGGAGUUAUAAGUCUUAAAUGCAUCAGACGCUUACUGCCGUGUUAAGAACCAAAACAGUUGAUACCAAACACGCCUGAAGAGACCUAAUGUUGAACUUCGUACGAACUCUUUGCAGUAUGCCCCUCCCCCCCUGUACCGGUCAAUCUGCUAUGUGAACUUUACCGUCUGCGUCGCGUUUGUUGAUGAAAAUUCGUGAGUGAGAUAAGAUUAUUAGAUGACCAUACAUACUGUACAUCCAAGUACAGGGGCGGACCCAGAUGUAUUUUCUGAUAGUCUUUCACAUUAUCUUUGUUGAUCCAACCUCCAUUUUAGACCGUCUUCUUACAGCAAACGUUACAUGUCCUUUUAUGUAAACUAAGAGUUUGACAACUUGUAUACCGUGGUCAUUGUAAACUAAGAGUUUGACAACUUGUAUACCGUGGUCAUUGUAAACUAAGAGUUUGACAACUUGUAUACCGUGGUCAUUGUAAACUAAGAGUUUGACAACUUGUAUACCGUGGUCAUUGUAAACUAAGGGUUUGACCAUUUCUAUACCGUGGUCUAUGAGACAGCUGUACUAGCCGGUACUUUCAUGUCAAAAUACUUGAUAUAUCUCAAGAAAUAAUAAGAGAAGUUUUAAGCGUCAACUACAAAUCUUAUGUCAAAACAAAAUAUUAAUUGUUUAUGAGUUUUUUUACAGAUGAUAGACAAUUAAGUUGAUUUCCGUCACCAAAGGGAAGAGCUAUGCUAAUAAUUGCAGAGAUAUCCCCAUACAGAGAUAUCCCCAUGGUAUAUCAGAGCGUAAACAGACAAAUGUCACACGUACAAUCACAUAGGGAAGGUUUUUACUGAGACAUGUUUGAGCUUUCCAAUAAUGUAAAAAAAUAAUUUCUUUGCCAUCAAUCCUGUGUCUCGGGAGGGGAUGAAGACAAUUCAACAAAGAACGAGUUGUGAAAAGUAAAAUUGGAUAUAUUGAAAACGUACUCUUUGACACCACACUUCAACAUUUUGAAAGUUUUCCCUAAGUUAAAAUGAAAGCUGGCAGCCAUAAAGUACACAGAUCAGUCGAGGAUGUAGUUCUGUUGAUAAUUACAGACCAGCAGAGAUUAUAGAAUCUCUCUUCCACAGUACUGAGCAACCGGCCAUGUUGUGAACUGAAUUAAGUAGUAAGAACGACCACCUAUUUAUAUAUCAAACACCACACGACAAUGGAACGCUUUAAAAAACAUUUUAACAACGUUGUCGCAUUUUUGUGGUUUUAUAUUUUCCCGUAAGCACUACAUGAUUGUGAGUCACACCGACGGUUUCUGAAUUUAUCUCUUAUUUCUUAUUAAAAUGAGGUAGCUACGACAAGUAGUGGACCAUUUGUGUGGUGGUCGUUGGCGGGGCAGGUGAACGUGAAGGUGUAGGUGGGGCAGGUGUAACCAGGGCAGGUCUAGGCGGGGCAGCUGUAGGUGGAGGUGUAGGAGGGGCACGUGUAGUCCAUGGGGUGCCAGUACGGUGCCAGGGGGUUGUCCGGAACGUUGUCCGCCACGGGACGGCAGUGCGGCGCCAGGGGUUCUUCCGAAUUGUUGUCUGCUGUAGCCUGCACUCCGCAUACAACUGGAAGAUAAUACGGACAUGUGCAGCAGUUAUAAUGUGCCAUACUUUACUACCUCAUUUGACGGACUUUUACGAACUAGAGGGACAGAAAAUUCGGUAGCUUUACGACCAGAAAUUCUAAAAAGAUCCAGGUCGAGCAGUAAGACAGCACGGCGCCCAAUCAGCAUGGCGUGUUCUGGGGCAGGGUCGACAUGGCCACUACACUCUGCCUUCAGCUUCCCUGUGAUGAGGGAAAUGUGAGCUUCCAGUUUAAAUAUCUGCAACUUUUUGGCGAAAACA
This 2496-nucleotide long non-coding RNA is filed under the name Lingula anatina. Its description in RNAcentral is "uncharacterized LOC106162280, transcript variant X1". The record is from RNAcentral. Lineage: Eukaryota; Metazoa; Brachiopoda; Lingulata; Lingulida; Lingulidae.